Molecule: small RNA, 127 nt
Filed under: Marmota monax (woodchuck)
Lineage: Eukaryota; Metazoa; Chordata; Mammalia; Rodentia; Sciuridae
Source: RNAcentral
GCUGGGUAUGGUGACACAUACUUGUAAUCCCAGCAACUCAGGAGGCUGAGGCAGAAGAAUUGCAAGUUGGAGACCAGCCUCAGCAAUGUAGUCAGGCCCUAAGCAAUUUUGUAAGAUCUUGUCUCAA